This 303-nucleotide ribosomal RNA is filed under the name uncultured bacterium. RNAcentral's name for it is "partial 16S ribosomal RNA". It matches the Rfam family "Bacterial small subunit ribosomal RNA", at positions 507 to 809 of the family's 1533-position model. The record is from RNAcentral.
AGCAGUCGCCACGGUAAUACGAAGGGUGCAAGCGUUACUCGGAAUUACUGGGCGUAAAGCGUGCGUAGGUGGUGGUUUAAGUCCGUUGUGAAAGCCCUGGGCUCAACCUGGGAAUUGCAGUGGAUACUGGGUCACUAGAGUGUGGUAGAGGAUAGUGGAAUUUCCGGUGUAGCAGUGAAAUGCGUAGAGAUCGGAAGGAACAUCUGUGGCGAAGGCGACUAUCUGGGCCAACACUGACACUGAGGCACGAAAGCGUGGGGAGCAAACAGGAUUAGAUACCCCCGUAGUCCCUGUCUCUUAUAA